AUUGAACGCUGGCGGCAUGCCUUACACAUGCAAGUCGAACGGCAGCACGGGAGCAAUCCUGGUGGCGAGUGGCGAACGGGUGAGUAAUAUAUCGGAACGUGCCCAGUCGUGGGGAUAACGUAGCGAAAGCUACGCUAAUACCGCAUACGAUCUAUGGAUGAAAGCGGGGGAUCGCAAGACCUCGCGCGAUUGGAGCGGCCGAUAUCAGAUUAGGUAGUUGGUGAGGUAAAGGCUCACCAAGCCGACGAUCUGUAGCUGGUCUGAGAGGACGACCAGCCACACUGGGACUGAGACACGGCCCAGACUCCUACGGGAGGCAGCAGUAGGGAAUUUUUGGGACAAUGGGCGCAAGCCUGAUCCAGCAAUGCCGCGUGCAGGAUGAAGGCCUUCGGUUGUAAC
RNAcentral lists this ribosomal RNA (399 nucleotides) under uncultured bacterium. RNAcentral describes it as "bacterial SSU rRNA". It matches the Rfam family "Bacterial small subunit ribosomal RNA", at positions 30 to 429 of the family's 1533-position model. The record is from RNAcentral.